AACGAACGCUGGCGGCAUGCCUAACACAUGCAAGUCGAACGAGACCUUCGGGUCUAGUGGCGCACGGGUGCGUAACGCGUGGGAACCUGCCUUUAGGUUCGGAAUAACUCAGAGAAAUUUGAGCUAAUACCGGAUGAUGUCUUCGGACCAAAGAUUUAUCGCCUUUAGAUGGGCCCGCGUUGGAUUAGCUAGUUGGUGGGGUAAAGGCCUACCAAGGCGACGAUCCAUAGCUGGUCUGAGAGGAUGAUCAGCCACACUGGGACUGGGACACGGUCCAGACUCCUACGGGAGGCAGCAGUGGGGAAUAUUGGACAAUGGGCGAAAGCCUGAUCCAGCAAUGCCGCGUGAGUGAUGAAGGCCUUAGGGUUGUAAAGCUCUUUUAACCGAGAUGAUAAUGACAGUAUCGGGAGAAUAAGCUCCGGCUAACUCCGUG
RNAcentral lists this ribosomal RNA (433 nucleotides) under uncultured bacterium. Its description in RNAcentral is "partial 16S ribosomal RNA". It matches the Rfam family "Bacterial small subunit ribosomal RNA", at positions 29 to 507 of the family's 1533-position model. The record is from RNAcentral.